UGUAAGUCGCUCCCUUACCUAUACAUGUCUCCUGGUCUUCUUCUUCCCGAGUUCAAGUUCUUUCUGGAAAAAAAUUCUUACACAGCAACAAAAAAAAAAAAAAUAAUCGUAUAGAGCAUUGGAGGCUUCAAGGGAUUAUCCAUGGAGUCAUCUGUAGAUAAAAAACCAGCUCCGCCCCUCCGUUUGAUUUCUCCUGAUUCCUGAAGAAGAGGUUUGAUCGAAGAUCGAUAUUUUCUUUCUUUUUCAUUUUUACUCCUUUUUUGUAAUUUUUUUUUUUUAUACCUAUCCAAAGUUUCGCCUACAGCUGGAACCGUACAUAUAAAAUUUAAGGAUGAUUUAGAAUGUAUGUUAAGUAAUUAAUUUUAUUACCUUUUAAUCUAGUAAUGGCAGACCUCUUAAUUCGUGAAAUGGAAAAAUCUUGUGGAAUAUUGAUUUGUGGAGUUGAUCCUGAUCUAGUGGCUUAUUGGGAAAUAUCUGAAGUUGUUUUGAUCGAUUAAUAUUAGCUUUAGGAGAAGUAUUUUAUAAUUUCUUCUUCGGUCAUUAAUUAAGAUCCAAUGAUAUAGCUAGUAAAGUAAAAGAAACAUAUAGUAAUUAAUUAGUCUAUAACAGAUUCGAUCUGACUGGACCAUAAGCGUAUUUGCCUGCAGUGCGCGUGUGUAUUAGAUGUGCACGAGGCUGAGGCUCGCUUUUGUCUUUUGAUACGAGGCUAGGGCAAGGGUUUUCUUCUCUUUCUCUCUCUCCUUUGUUUUAUGAAAAUGAGUCCGUAAGGAAUUAAUGUUGCCAUCCUAUAAAUCCCCCAAGAGCUAGCAGCCCUCUCAUACGGUUGGCUGAGCACUCAAAUCUUCUUCCAUUGCGAAUGUAUGAAAUUUUCUUUUUGACAUUCCAUUUCCAGAAAUGAACUGCCCUGUUGUAUGUGAGAUUUUUGUUUCCACCAUUGCUAAAUCUUGUAAUCUUCUUUUUCUUCCUGAAAUCUCAAGAUGGUCAGUCUUGGUACCUCCAAGAUGGAACCAAUCAGAUACUUUUGUACCCAAUUUUAAAGCUUCAAUUCCCCUUCCUGAUAUUACUGGUCUUUCUCUUCACAGCCAUCAGAGUUCCUGUCAGUGUGAGAAGCCCCAUGCCCAUGAGUUGUGGAGAUCAUCUCCCUUGUCUGUUGGCAAUAUCCACAAUCGCUUCUCUCAUUUUGGCUCCAUCUCUUUUCUUAGUGGUUUAUUUGUGUCUCAUAAUCCUAUCACUCUUUUAUGUAACGCUAACUUCUCUGUUUAAGCGCUGCUGCAACGGACACGCUGCUGUAAUAGCUUCUGCCGAACCUCACGAGGGCAUCCAAAACCUGCAGCCAGGGGAUCUGGUGCAAUUGUGGUGACUCGAAGUUCCAUGCAACUACUACUACCUAGGGCUAGCUACAGUUGCCACAGUAAUAAUAUAUAUUUCUCUUUUAAUUUUUUUUUAAAGAUAAAAUUCAGAUCUGUUGUUUUAGUUAUGUAUACGACUCCGUAUAGAUGAAGUGGACA
RNAcentral lists this long non-coding RNA (1508 nucleotides) under Citrus sinensis (sweet orange). RNAcentral's name for it is "long non-coding RNA (CSIN_LNC003844)". The record is from RNAcentral. Lineage: Eukaryota; Viridiplantae; Streptophyta; Magnoliopsida; Sapindales; Rutaceae.